GACGAACGCUGGCGGCGUGCCUAAUACAUGCAAGUCGAGCGGACCGACGGGAGCUUGCUCCCUUAGGUCAGCGGCGGACGGGUGAGUAACACGUGGGUAACCUGCCUGUAAGACUGGGAUAACUCCGGGAAACCGGGGCUAAUACCGGAUGCUUGAUUGAACCGCAUGGUUCAAUCAUAAAAGGUGGCUUUCAGCUACCACUUACAGAUGGACCCGCGGCGCAUUAGCUAGUUGGUGAGGUAACGGCUCACCAAGGCGACGAUGCGUAGCCGACCUGAGAGGGUGAUCGGCCACACUGGGACUGAGACACGGCCCAGACUCCUACGGGAGGCAGCAGUAGGGAAUCUUCCGCAAUGGACGAAAGUCUGACGGAGCAACGCCGCGUGAGUGAUGAAGGUUUUCGGAUCGUAAAACUCUGUUGUUAGGGAAGAACAAGUACCGUUCGAAUAGGGCGGCACCUUGACGGUACCUAACCAGAAAGCCACGGCUAACUACGUGCCAGCAGCCGCGGUAAUACGUAGGUGGCAAGCGUUGUCCGGAAUUAUUGGGCGUAAAGCGCGCGCAGGCGGUUUCUUAAGUCUGAUGUGAAAGCCCCCGGCUCAACCGGGGAGGGUCAUUGGAAACUGGGGAACUUGAGUGCAGAAGAGGAGAGUGGAAUUCCACGUGUAGCGGUGAAAUGCGUAGAGAUGUGGAGGAACACCAGUGGCGAAGGCGAC
This 716-nucleotide ribosomal RNA is filed under the name uncultured Bacilli bacterium. Its description in RNAcentral is "bacterial SSU rRNA". It matches the Rfam family "Bacterial small subunit ribosomal RNA", at positions 28 to 725 of the family's 1533-position model. Lineage: Bacteria; Bacillati; Bacillota; Bacilli. The record is from RNAcentral.